UAUUAUAGCAUAACUUUAAUUAACCAUUAAAAAAAUAUAAAUAAGUAUGUAUUUCUUACUUAUUUAUUUAUUACUUGUCGUGUAUGGAUUUCCCAUUUGCUGCAAUAUUAAUUUUUUAAUUUUAGUAUCUACCUCAUGUACUACACCUGGUUGGUUGGUUAAAUAUGAUCAUUUAAAUGAGAAAAUGUAUACUCGUGCAACUGAAUACAUGUAAACUUGAGAAAAUGAAUACUUGUGCAAAUGUAUACUCGUGCAAUCUGGUAAAAAAAUUCUGUAUUGUGCUUUCUCUUUUUAGUAAUUGCAUGCAAA
Hydra vulgaris (swiftwater hydra) is the source of this 309-nucleotide non-coding RNA. NCBI's taxonomy places the organism in Eukaryota, Metazoa, Cnidaria, Hydrozoa, Anthoathecata, Hydridae. The record is from RefSeq and is a predicted model, not a curated record.